CCUACGGGGCGCCGCAGUGAGGAAUAUUGCUCAAUGGGCGCGAGCCUGAACCAGCCAAGUAGCGUGAAGGAUGACUGCCCUACGGGUUGUACACUUCUUUUAUAAAGGAAUAAAGUGAGGCACGUGUGCCUUUUUGUAUGUACUUUAUGAAUAAGGAUCGGCUAACGCCGUGCCAGCAGCCGCGGUAAUACGGAGGAUCCGAGCGUUAUCCGGAUGUAUUGGGUUUAAAGGGAGCGUAGAUGGGUUGUUAAGUCAGGUGUGAAAGUUUGCGGCUCAACCGUAAAAUUGCAAUUGAUACUGGCAGUCUUGAGUACAGUUGAGGUAGGCGGAAUUCGUGGUGUAGCGGUGAAAUGCUUAGAUAGCACGAAGAACUCCGAUUGCGAAGGCAGCUUACUAAACUGCCACUGACAUUGAGGCUCGAAAGUGUGGGUAUCAAACUGGAUUAGAUACCCGAGUAGUC
Molecule: ribosomal RNA, 460 nt
Filed under: uncultured bacterium
Lineage: Bacteria
Description: partial 16S ribosomal RNA
Rfam family: Bacterial small subunit ribosomal RNA
Source: RNAcentral